This 754-nucleotide ribosomal RNA is filed under the name uncultured Chloroflexota bacterium. RNAcentral describes it as "bacterial SSU rRNA". It matches the Rfam family "Bacterial small subunit ribosomal RNA", at positions 8 to 796 of the family's 1533-position model. The record is from RNAcentral. Lineage: Bacteria; Bacillati; Chloroflexota.
AGAGUUUGAUCCUGGCUCAGGAUCAACGCUGGCGGCGUGCCUAACGCAUGUAAGUCGCGCGGCUGGUCUUCGGACCAGCAGCGGCGAACGGCUGAGGAACACGUACGAACCUGCCCUCUCGUGGGGAAUAACGCACCGAAAGGUGUGCUAAUACCGCGUACGCUCAUCGUGAGAUGAGGAAAGCCUUCGGGCGUGGGAGGAGGAGCGUGCGGCCCAUCAGGUCGUUGGCGGGGUAAGAGCCCACCAAGCCGGUGACGGGUCGCUGGUCUGUGAGGACGAUCAGCCAGACUGGGACUGAGACACGGCCCAGACACCUACGGGUGGCAGCAGCAAGGAAUCUUCGGCACUGGGCGCAAGCCUGACCGAGCAACGCCGCGUGGAGGACGACGGCCUUCGGGUUGUAAACUCCUUUCGGCGGGGACGAAACGGACGGUACCCGCAAAAGCAGCCCCGGCUAACUCUGUGCCAGCAGCCGCGGUAAUACAGAGGGGGCAAGCGUUGUCCGGAUUUACUGGGCGUACAGCGCGCGCAGGCGGACCGCGACGUGCCGUGUGACAAGCCACCGCUCACCGGUGGAGGGCCAUGGUACACGAGCGGUCUGGAGGCAGGGAGAGGGAUGUGGAAUGCCCGGUGGAGCGGUGAAAUGCGUAGAGAUCGGGCGGAACACCAGUAGCGAAGGCGGCUCGCUGGGCCACACCUGACGCUGAGACGCGAAAGCUAGGGGAGCGAACAGGAUUAGAUACCCCGGUAGUCC